Molecule: ribosomal RNA, 403 nt
Filed under: Campeloma floridense
Lineage: Eukaryota; Metazoa; Mollusca; Gastropoda; Architaenioglossa; Viviparidae
Description: SSU rRNA
Rfam family: Eukaryotic small subunit ribosomal RNA
Source: RNAcentral
CCAGUAGUCAUAUGCUUGUCUCAAAGAUUAAGCCAUGCAUGUCUAAGUUCACACCCUCGUACGGUGAAACCGCCAAUGGCUCAUUAAAUCAGUCGAGGUUCCUUAGAUGAUCCAUUUCUACUUGGAUAACUGUGGUAAUUCUAGAGCUAAUACAUGCCCAACAGCUCCGACCCCGUCUUCGCGGGCGGGGAAAGAGCGCUUUUAUUAGUUCAAAACCAGUCGGGGGUUUCGGCCCUCGUGCUUUGGUGACUCUGGAUAACUUUGAGCCGAUCGCAUGGCCUCGAGCCGGCGACGCAUCUUUCAAAUGUCUGCCCUAUCAAAUGACGACGGUACGUGAUCUGCCUACCGUGUUGACUACGGGUAGCGGGGAAUCAGGGUUCGAUUCCGGAGAGGGAGCAUGAGA